Molecule: long non-coding RNA, 6218 nt
Organism: Scylla paramamosain (green mud crab)
Lineage: Eukaryota; Metazoa; Arthropoda; Malacostraca; Decapoda; Portunidae
Exons: 5
Source: RefSeq, a predicted model, not a curated record
UUCUUAGAAAUUUUGUAGUAAAGGAACGUGUGAAAGAAAACGGGAAUCAAUGAAAGUUAAAACAAUCUUAACAACACCAUUUAUUAUUUCUUAUCAUCUUACAUUGCACUACUUAUUUAUUUCUUAAUCAAUAUAUUUUACAAGAUAGGAUAAACAAACGCCAAAAGGAAAACAGGAACCCCAAUAAUGCAAUAAGCACAUGAACUCAGUAGCUCGCCGCUGGCCAGAGAGGAAGGACGUGGAGGCUGUUUAAUUUUCCUCGGGAGUCCGCGUUUCGUAUUGCUCGGCACGCCUGCCAUACAAGAUUGAGUCUCACCGUACUUGUGUGAAUUGGAACCGCACAUUUCCACGCCCAUCAUGAUGUUCCCACGCCCAUCAUUUUGUUCUCACACCCCCCACGCCAUAACAAGGGAAGGGGUAAAGCAACGAAAGGGGAGAAGGAAAACAGUGAGGCAAGAGGGAACACACACACACACCAAUACAGGUUGUCUCGCCCUCAGGAAGUCAACAAUAAUAAGCGGCCCUGACAAACAGCAACAGCAGCAACACAGCAGCCUGCAGGAGCACCAGCUGUGUCCAGGGGCGUGGUGGUGGUGGUGGUGACGUUAAUCAUUUCAUAAUCUUUCUUUCAGAGCGGCCCUGGAGAGAUAAGGCCGAGUGGAAAGAGGAAGACAGAAAAGAGCACAACGAAGAGAAAGGAGACCAAGACGACGACGACGAAGACCAAGAAAGAAAACUAAGAAAAACAGGAAGAAAACGAGAAAUAAGACCAAGAAAUACAUCAAUAAGAAGACCAAGAAUACACCAAUAAGACCAAGAAUACACCAAUAACAAUAAUAAGAAGAAAAACAAACUAUGAAGGAGAGAAGCAGCAGCAUCCGCACAGGAAGUCCGAGGUUCUUGAGGUCUCGGGCGUCGAGGUUGAGAAGCCUUGGACCGGUGAUGGCCAUGUCUUGAAACUUGGCCACGCAUCCCUCCAGGCCCUGCACCACCAACCACUGACUCACCUAAGGGGCAGGGACAGUGGUGAGGGUGGUGAGGGUGUGCUUGGUGAGGCAGGAUGAGGAUGAUGCAUGUGUGAGUUUGUGAAGGGUUAAGGCAAGGUCUGGGUAAGGGACAACAGGAGUGACGGUGUGCAAGAAGGGAAAGGCUGGUAGUUGAUGUGAGGGAUGGUAAUACUGUCUGGGUGUUGUAGAAAAGAAGAGGUGCUUAGUGAGUUGUGAAGGGGUGAGGAUACAAGAUUGUGUGUGUGGAAGGAAGGAAAGAAAGGAGUGAAGGGGUUAACAAGUGAAAGAGUGAGGUAAAAAGAUGCACAUUUAAUGAAAGGGAUUAUGAAAGAAGGGAGGAGAGGAGUGCAUGUUGAAUCAAGAGUGAGAAGAUUGAGUACCAAAUGAGUGAAAGAACAAAAAGAAGUUAUUGAGGGACAUAAGUGCAGUAAUGUCACACUACCAGGCACAGAACCAGACACUUCUAGAGAGACAGCCCACAGGUAGUGCUGGGCUGGCCACGCACACCAGCCGGUCACUUACCAGGCUCACCCACUCACCCACCCUGAGAUGCUGAGGGAGGAUGGAGGCUGUCGAGAUACACUUUUAGCUGUGUAUGGUCUUGUGGAUUAAAUGUGAAAGUGGUUGCUGUUUUAAUUGAAUGACCUGCACCUCGACCAUUCAAGUUUCUCUGGAGUACUUAGUGGCCAGAAAGCACUGUGCCAGUAGAAAUCAGCAGGUGUAAAGUGUAACCCUGGCCUCCACACACCAGUCAUUGUUCAGUGUGGCCACAACAUGCGUCUCCCAGGCAGCCUCGCUCCUCCCCUGCCUCACACCACCAACAGGUAAACCUCCAGUACACAAUUAAGUAAUGGAAAACUAAGCUGAACACAUCUAUAUCUACACUGACUGGAUUGAUGCUCCUUCACAAAGAUGUUAGUGUAGAUGCACAUUACUGUGCUGCAUUGCUCUUAAUGUUAAACUGUUUUGUGAUUAGUAUGCAAAAAUGCUUAAUUUUAGUUAAUUUUGGGAUUUGGUGAGUGUUAAACUCAUUAAUUGGCACUAAACUUAUGAUUUCUAUCAUGUCACAACAAUACAAGACACAUGAAUGAUGUUUAUCUUUUUCUUUCCAAUGAGGACCAAUGAUGAAAUGUUUCAUUGAUGUUAAUAAACUUAGUCAUUGUUUUCAGUCUUGAAACAACACUCCACUGUGCUUUGCAUUAGUGUGUGAAGCCAAUCAUUACAAUUCACCUCCAGAAGGAAAGACUUCUGGUACCCCAAGUGUCCUGAGUGGCACUUCUAGGGGGCAUGUGGAUGUACAGUGACACAAAUCAGUAAAGACAAGUAAUUAAAAAGUCUGCUACUUGCAGCCACAAAAGGAGCCAAGAAAACAACAAAAAACAACAAAAAAGUUGCUGCCACAAAAAUGAGCAGAGAAAACUGAAGCACAAAAUCUUACCUCUGACUGAGAAAUAUAAAAUGAUGCACUGAGUGAUAACAAAGCAGGUAUUGGCCCGUACCUGAAGCAAUGAGGCUUGAGGUGCUGCACAAGUCUUGCCUAACUUGUCAAUGUUAUACUGAAACAAUUCCCAGCCUGUCAAACACCACCACUACCAUCACCACCACGCAAGGCCCCAAGAGAUGAAUACAUUUAGAUUAACAUUAAAUAAAUAAAAAUUGUACACAUUUGGUGUUAAAUAGUACAAAUUUCAGUGCUGCUUGUGUACAUGUAUUUCCUGAGUGAGGUGUAGCAGAUGCCACCAGACCUUGUGUUGAUGCUUCCUGUGCUUUCCAUGGCACUACAAUACAAACUUUUGCUAAAUCAAUCCCGUACUUCGCAGUAGCACCCAGGAAUGAGGACACAGCCAGCCUGCCUCCUCCUGUUGGUGGUGGUGUGGUGCUGUCCUGGUGAGCCACACCCCAACACACAGGCUGGCCACAUGCUGUCCCUUCCCCCUGCUGUCAUGUCUCAAAUAACUCAAGAGUCAUGCAAAAAAAGGCAAGGGCUACUGGCUUGCUUAGAAGUUAUAAGACACUUACCUUGGACAGACAGGUGACGGAGGCAACAGAGGCAUGCCAACUGCUACUGCUUGCUGUUAGUAAUUAUGUAGUCUUUCAUCCAAUGUUUAGUCUUACUCCCAACAAUAGUCACAAUCUUGCCACUAAUCCCCAUCCUCCUCCUGUCUGCUCAAAUCAAGUGCACUCAUGCUGCCACCACCACCACCACUGCCACCACCACUACUCUGUUCCUACAAGCCCUCACUCUUUUACACACUGCCCACCACAGCUGCUGCUGCUGCUGCUACACCCCUGCCCCCUCACCACUGGAGCUACUUCUGCUGGCUAGUCUGACAGUCACUGUACCUGCUCCUUGGUCCAGUCCACCACAGGGGCGGUCUGCCACAUGUGGGAGCGCUUGGAGCGGUGCUCGGUGGGCGGGGGCGGCUGGGGGUGGGUGAGGGAGGUCUGGGAACCAAGUGAGGCCCCCGACCCCUCAUCCCCCGAGCCCAGGGAGGCGGGGCCGCUGCUCAGCUCCCCGCUGCUGGCGUCUACACCUGGCAUGGUCAUCGAGGUCAAGCCGGGGCACCACACACACCUACAACCCCAAGCCUGCCAAGUGAUUCUCUGCCCAGGCACUCAAUGUGUGUGCCUUGUUUGCUCAGUCUGGUCUUCCUUCACCCACACCAUCCACUUCCUGUGCCUCACUUUUCUGUCUGUCUAUGUAUUUAUGUCUCAAUGCCUUAGCUCACUCCACUCCAGGGUUCCCUCAAGAUAGUUGCAAGACAGGUCAUCAACUUUCCUGUUCUGCCAACACCUCAGUGCACAGUCAAAACUUUGGCUGUCAUUACUCUCACUCCAAAGCUCAUUUACUGUGUUUGUCUGCUGUGCUUCACUGUCUUGUGUCUUCCUCUAUCAACCAUUAAUACAGAGAGGUGUCUAGGUUAUUUUUACUUUCAUGGCACCACUUUGACAAAUGCAUCCUUCUUCCUCUCCUUGCUCUGAGAGACAAUAUCUGUCAUCUCUCAGGUUACAUAAUGAAAUUCCCCUCCUCUAUAUAUAUCCUGCUGGUUGUGGUGGAAAGUUUGCCCGCAGAGAAUCACUUUUGGCACAGGCUUGAGGUGGGUGAGGGAGGGGGAGUCCUGCUGUGGCCCCCCUCCCCACCAGGGCAAGGGACUGACUCUUGGCCAAUUGUCAUUUAGAAGCACAUGCCAGAUUGAACUAGUCAAGGGGAGAAACUCAACACAAGGCCAACAUAAUGAGGAAUAGCAGUCUUAAUCUAUCAGUGGUCCAGUCCAGGGUGCAAAACAACAUAAAGGCUACGGCUAGUGGGAAAAAACCAGGCGCUAAAAUAAUACGAACUAAACAUAACCAAAAAAUGUCUCCAGUUAUUUUUACUUUGUUUUUCUUUUCUUUCUUUAAGGUUCAGUUUGUGCAGCAUCAAUUUUGUUACUCAGCUGACAUGACCUAUGGUGGGGCUGACCUGCUUGUAUGUAGAGGGGACAAUGACACUGAAAUUUUGGCUGAUGAAUACACACAAUUAUCACACUUAAGUAAUGAAUGAUAGAGAAAUUAUGGGAUUCAACUCAAACACACACACUGCUCUUCCUACAACACUCAUAAAAGCCUCAAAUCAACCUCCUUCCUUUAAAUUAUUUCUCAUUUCCUCUUUCUCUCUCACAUGUGAAGUUUUUCUUAUCUUUCCUUCAUUAUUUACUCUCCUUCUGUUUGUCUGUCUGUUUUUCCUUUUCUUUCAGUUUAUCUAUAUAAACAUGCUUAUCUUCUAUUUUUUUAUUUUUCUUUGUUCACUCUUCUAUACUAUACUAUCCUUCCUUUUCCUUCCAUUCCUCAAUUCUUAAAGCUCCUCUAGCUUAUUUAUUUAUUUAUCCUUCCACUUUUCCAUUUUUAUCAUCCUAAGCUGCACCUAUUCUAUUCUUACUACUUUCCUUCUAUUCCUCUUAGAUUCUUGGCCUUCUAUCUCAUCAUUCAGAUUUGCCCUGUGUUUCUUGUCUGUUCUCUGGCUUUCUCCUCUCCCUAUCUUCCUUCCCCUUCACCACUUUUCUCCUCCUCUUAAUUCAUCCAUCUUUUAUUCUAUUCCUUUUAAUUCCUCCUCUCCCAGCCUUCCUUUAUUACUGUUUUCUCUUCCAUUCCUCUCAGUCCCUCCUCUCUUUAACUCUCCACAAGUUCUCACCACUCUAAUUUUCCCAUCCUUCCCUCAUUACUGCUUCCUCUUCCAUUCCUCUCAGUCCCUCCUCUCCCAAGCCCACCACUCUCAUCCUCUUCUGCCUCACCUGUGGACCCCUUGUGCGAGGGUGUGCUGGAGCUGUCGAGAGAGCGCUGACUCAGUAGCACCACACCUCCUGCUGGGUUGGGGCUGACUGAGGCGCCCGGUGAAGCACGGCCCAGCUUGGGGGACUGGGAACCGCCGCUGGGGACCUCCCGGUGUGACUCUCGGCUGGCCUGGUGGGAGAUGCAGGGGUGGUGAUGGGGAAGUGAAGAGUGGUGUGUGGAGGUUUGGUAGUGUGUGUGUUGUUUCUGCCGUUGUAUUCCCAGCCUUUGCUUCACUUCACUGCAAUGUAACUCUUUCCAAUCCUUUACAGAGAUGCUCCUCAGUACUAAAGCAACUCCUGUGACUGUGAUGGGGAAGUGAAGAGUGACGUGGGUUACGGACUGUUUCUGUUGUUGUAUUCCUACCUUCGCUUCACCUCAGUGCAAUCUAAACCCUUCCAUUUCUUUACAGAAAUGCUCCUCAACAUUAAGGCAACUCCCGUGACCUGCAGCAUGCUGACCUUACUCACGGGGGUGUAGAAGGCGGACUGUGACCUCUGUGGAGACGUGGCCGAGGGUGGGGCAACCUGGUGGUGCCCUGGACUCACCAGGUGAUGGGCUGUUGACGACACAUACAAGGGACCGCUUAUAUGAGGCUUCUUACCCACUGCAAGAGAGAGAGAGAGAGCCGGCUCUGUCACCACCACCACCACCACCAGCACCUUGGGGACCUCCACGCUGAGGGUUUGCAGGGCCCCUAAGUCUUACAGGGACCUCACCCUGACCUGCAUCUCACUGGAGGGUUGGGACACAACUCUAGGGGUUUGUGUGCCACAUUCAAUGCUGUCUAAUUACAAACAGGGAGUUUGUUUGUUAUGACCUGUCUUUGUUUGCUAUUCAAAAAUUUAAAAUUUAAAAGGUUUGUUUACAUUCCUUUAAGACAAAGAAAUGUGGAGAUUUUAAAGA